UACGAAGGGGGCUAGCGUUGUUCGGAAUUACUGGGCGUAAAGCGCACGUAGGCGGAUAUUUAAGUCAGGGGUGAAAUCCCAGAGCUCAACUCUGGAACUGCCUUUGAUACUGGGUGUCUUGAGUAUGGAAGAGGUGAGUGGAAUUCCGAGUGUAGAGGUGAAAUUCGUAGAUAUUCGGAGGAACACCAGUGGCGAAGGCGGCUCACUGGUCCAUUACUGACGCUGAGGUGCGAAAGCGUGGGGAGCAAACAGG
This 253-nucleotide ribosomal RNA is filed under the name uncultured bacterium. Its description in RNAcentral is "partial 16S ribosomal RNA". It matches the Rfam family "Bacterial small subunit ribosomal RNA", at positions 524 to 776 of the family's 1533-position model. The record is from RNAcentral.